This 809-nucleotide ribosomal RNA is filed under the name uncultured bacterium. RNAcentral describes it as "bacterial SSU rRNA". It matches the Rfam family "Bacterial small subunit ribosomal RNA", at positions 62 to 840 of the family's 1533-position model. The record is from RNAcentral.
CCAAUUGAUUGACGGUGCUUGCAUCUGAUUGAUUUUCGUUGCCAACGAGUGGCGGACGGGUGAGUAACACGUAGGUAACCUGCCCAGAAGUGGGGGACAACAUUUGGAAACAGAUGCUAAUACCGCAUAACAGCGUUGUUCGCAUGAACAACGCUUAAAAGAUGGCUUCUCGCUAUCACUUCUGGAUGGACCUGCGGUGCAUUAGCUUGUUGGUGGGGUAACGGCCUACCAAGGCGAUGAUGCAUAGCCGAGUUGAGAGACUGAUCGGCCACAAUGGGACUGAGACACGGCCCAUACUCCUACGGGAGGCAGCAGUAGGGAAUCUUCCACAAUGGGCGCAAGCCUGAUGGAGCAACACCGCGUGAGUGAAGAAGGGUUUCGGCUCGUAAAGCUCUGUUGUUAAAGAAGAACACGUAUGAGAGUAACUGUUCAUACGUUGACGGUAUUUAACCAGAAAGUCACGGCUAACUACGUGCCAGCAGCCGCGGUAAUACGUAGGUGGCAAGCGUUAUCCGGAUUUAUUGGGCGUAAAGAGAGUGUAGGCGGUUUUCUAAGUCUGAUGUGAAAGCCUUCGGCUUAACCGGAGAAGUGCAUCGGAAACUGGAUAACUUGAGUGCAGAAGAGGGUAGUGGAACUCCAUGUGUAGCGGUGGAAUGCGUAGAUAUAUGGAAGAACACCAGUGGCGAAGGCGGCUACCUGGUCUGCAACUGACGCUGAGACUCGAAAGCAUGGGUAGCGAACAGGAUUAGAUACCCUGGUAGUCCAUGCCGUAAACGAUGAGUGCUAGGUGUUGGAGGGUUUCCGCCCUU